This 501-nucleotide ribosomal RNA is filed under the name Triticum aestivum (bread wheat). RNAcentral's name for it is "partial small subunit ribosomal RNA". The record is from RNAcentral. Lineage: Eukaryota; Viridiplantae; Streptophyta; Magnoliopsida; Poales; Poaceae.
AUGACACUUGCUCGCCGUCUUCCAUUGAAUUUAGUGGAUAACCUCCUUGUGAUGGCGGCGAAUUUAAUAUUUGGAGACCUAUCAAGGUAUCACAUUAGAAGGCCAAAAAUGGGUCCAAUGAUCCUCAAGUCAGAAACCGGCCGAUCCGCUGUUAUUGAUGUUGGCACUGUUGGGUUAAUCAAAAAAGGUAUCAUCAAAAUACAAGGGAGCAUUAGUAAGAUCAUGAGCUAUAUAGUUGAAUUUUGGUGCAGUAAAAAAAUAUCAUUUGACGCGAUUGUGUUUGCAACUGGAUACAAAAGCACAACAAAUAUAUGGCUCAAGAAUGGUGAGAACAUGUUAAAUGGCAAUGGACUGCCCAUCAAAGAAUAUCCGAGUCAUUGGAAAGGUGAAAAUGGGGUCUACUGUGCUGGGUUAGGAAGGAGAGGAUUGGCUGGUAUUGCAGCAGAUGCCAAGAAUAUCGCCAAUGACAUCAAAUCAAUGAUAGGCGUUAUGUCCAGCUAA